RNAcentral lists this non-coding RNA (755 nucleotides) under Pongo abelii (Sumatran orangutan). The record is from RNAcentral. Lineage: Eukaryota; Metazoa; Chordata; Mammalia; Primates; Hominidae.
GGAGCGCCUCUGACUGACUUCCCCCAUGUGUCCGUGUGGCCACACCGUGCUACUUUCAGAGGCAGUGGGCUUUUCGCUAAGCGAUAAAAAGAAGUAAAACCUUGCCUUUAGCGCAGCUCUCCAUCACUGGGCAGAUUGCUCUCCCUCCCCACUCUCCCAGGCCCAAAUUGGAUCUCAGCGCCUGGGAGCUCCAACUGCAGCAAGUGCAAAAUCCUGUCUUCGGUUUUGGAAUUUUCAUCCGCACAGACUAUAUCAGCCACGGAUAGGAUACGUGAGAAUACUAGCAUGUCAAAGCUGGGAAUCAUCCUUAGGCAUCACCUAGCCAGUCCUGCCUCUCAUUUUAAGGUGAUCACAGGAUCUGGUUUGCCACUGAAAGGAAUCUUGAUGCUGACCACUUCACCUCGGAGAGCAUGAACUGCUCCCAUGCCUUCAAGAGUUUUAGUGGGUAACCAGGAUGGAACUGUGGUGUUGCUUGCAGGAGAAGCUUACUACUGGUUUCUACUUCUCCAACCUCAUUGGUGGCUAUGCAGGCACUGUCUCCAGACUGUCUAUAUUCAACCCAGUAUCCAAGAAUUUCUUUGCCACCAUCACAUUCAGGUUUCUCCCACUGUAGAGUGACACUAUCUUUGGAUAUUGAAAGAAUCUCAAGUUCUCCUGGUUGGCUUGGUUUAUCUGAAAUAUUUUAAAAUAAUGAAAAGGGAAUCAGCUUUACUGGUGAAAUAAAAGGACCAAACAUGGCUUGCUUCUUUAAUUUU